GUCGGGAUAGUUUUAUCAACGUUAGGCCGUGACCCUAAAAAUAGAGGUCACACCCUCUUCCAGGCA
Molecule: transfer RNA, 66 nt
Filed under: Calotes versicolor
Lineage: Eukaryota; Metazoa; Chordata; Lepidosauria; Squamata; Agamidae
Description: tRNA-His
Source: RNAcentral